Molecule: long non-coding RNA, 1286 nt
Filed under: Marmota monax (woodchuck)
Lineage: Eukaryota; Metazoa; Chordata; Mammalia; Rodentia; Sciuridae
Source: RNAcentral
AUUUUUUUUAGAUGUUGAUGGACCUUUAUUUUAUUCAUUCAUUUAUACACGGUGCUGAGAAUCAAACCCAGUGCCUCACACAUACUAGGCAAGCACUGCACCACUGAGCCACAACUCCAGCCCAGGUCACUCAUUCUUUAACUCAGUUAUUUGUUCACCCAACAGUGUGGAGCUGCCUGCUAAGCGUCUGAUAAUUCUAGGGACUGGGGUUCUGCAGGAACCAGGUAAUUUUCUAAUACAGUGGGUUUGCAGAGAAGCAGACUCUAUCCGGGGCAUCAGCAACAAGGCCAGCACACCUCUCCACCCCGCAAUCUAGAAGUGGGAGACAAUGAACGAACGAAUGAAUGAGUCAGUUUGAAGAUACAGAGAAUCAAACACUGACGGAACGGGAUGCUCAGCCUGCUUAAGAGAGGUGUGAGGGACAGAGGAGCUACCCUCACGGUAGAACCACUGGGUGAGGGUCCCAAUAAACGCUCCUUAGGGGUCAGCUGUUAUUAUUACCUGUAUUAUUUUGAGUCCUGGCUCCCCCAUGUGCCAGUUCUAGGCUCUGGAGUUUCCUCCUUUGUAAGCGCUCAGGUUGCGGGGCAGGGAGGGCGGCGGCUAGCCCUAGGAGGGCGCCCCAAACAAGUUUGCGCCUCCCGGCCGGGCUGCGCCCCGGGGGCGGGACGGCCUCUAGGGGCCGACGGCGAACUACAUUUCCCACAAUCCCGGUCCGCCGCCAUCUCGGCCGGUGGGCGGUGGCUGCGUUGGGUCGGGCCCUUCUAGCCCGAGGGCCGGCUCUGUCCACCCCAACCAGAGCCGCCUCCACUGGGGGCGUGGGACCCCCGCCAAGUAGGACGUCUGAGCACCUGGGCAGCUCCUGCCCGCCUUUUCCACUUCUCCAUUCCUGGGAACCCGGUCCACGUGUCGGUCCGCUCAGAGGAGCCCGCUCGUCCCUUGCAGGCCAAGGGGUUUAAGGACCCAGACCCCUGGGUCUCCCAUGACUCCUCACGGACCCACGCCCUACUCCCAGGACCCUCUCCCCUCCAUGCCUCUGUGCGCCCGCCCCCGCCCCCCAUUCUGUCUCAAUGAGCACAGAAUAAGACCGGAUCCAAUGAGGGCUAGAGAUCUGGCGGGUGCGCAAGUCCUGGUAUCAGAUGCUUAGUAUAAGCCUGGGUUUGGGGCUAGGAGGUUAAAUUAGGGGCGUGCGAACAGCCAGGCCCAGACCUCCGCGGACUGGACCCUCCCCUACCCGCUACCCGGAGGCGGGGUGGGGGUGAGGGGCCCAAAGCGGGGCUGGCCCUUUA